Molecule: transfer RNA, 69 nt
Filed under: Trichopria drosophilae
Lineage: Eukaryota; Metazoa; Arthropoda; Insecta; Hymenoptera; Diapriidae
Description: tRNA-Gln
Source: RNAcentral
UAUAUAUUAAUGUAUUAUGCAUAAAAAUUUUUGAUAUUUUUUGAAUAAGUUUAAUUCUUAUAUAUAUAU